AAAACGACUCUCGGCAACGGAUAUCUCGGCUCUCGCAUCGAUGAAGAACGUAGCGAAAUGCGAUACUUGGUGUGAAUUGCAGAAUCCCGUGAACCAUCGAGUCUUUGAACGCAAGUUGCGCCCGAAGCCAUCAGGUUGAGGGCACGUCUGCCUGGGCGUCGAAC
RNAcentral lists this ribosomal RNA (164 nucleotides) under Helicostylis tovarensis. Its description in RNAcentral is "5.8S ribosomal RNA". It matches the Rfam family "5.8S ribosomal RNA". From Rfam's summary of the family: 5.8S ribosomal RNA (5.8S rRNA) is a component of the large subunit of the eukaryotic ribosome. It is transcribed by RNA polymerase I as part of the 45S precursor that also contains 18S and 28S rRNA. Lineage: Eukaryota; Viridiplantae; Streptophyta; Magnoliopsida; Rosales; Moraceae. The record is from RNAcentral.